RNAcentral lists this ribosomal RNA (1448 nucleotides) under Teluroides sp. NLG-2014. RNAcentral's name for it is "partial 16S ribosomal RNA". Lineage: Eukaryota; Metazoa; Arthropoda; Insecta; Coleoptera; Scarabaeidae. The record is from RNAcentral.
AACUUAAAGAAUUUGGCGGUAUUUUAGUCUUUUCAGAGGAACCUGUCCUAUAAUUGAUAUUCCACGAUUAAUUUUACUUAUUUUAUUAGUUUAUAUAUCAUCGUAGUUUGAAUGUUUUAGAAGAAUUUAUAAUAUUCAAGAUUUAUAAUAAUAAAGGAAAUCAGAUCAAGGUGUAGCUUAUAGAUAAGAAGAGAUGGGUUACAAUAAAUAUAUUUAUAUGGUUAAAGUAUUUAAAGUUACUUUAUAAAGUGGAUUUGAUUGUAAUAUAAUUUAGUUAAAUUAUAUGAUUUUAGCUCUAUAAUAUGUACAUAUCGCCCGUCGCUCCCGUUUUAAGAUGGGAUAAGUCGUAACAAAGUAGGUGUACUGGAAAGUGUACCUAGAUUGUCAAAUUAGAGCUUGUUAAAAAGUAUUUUAUUUACAGUAAAAUGUUAAUUGUGUAAAUCAAUUUAAUUUGAUAAUAAAAUAAUUAUAAUUAAUUGAAAAAUAAAGUAUUAUUAUUUAUAAGUAUUUUUUUAGAAUAUAAGGUUUAUAAUUAUAGUUAAUUUGUAUAGUGAUAGAAGAUUGAAAUAAUAGAAAUUUAGUUUUUAAGAAGAAAAAUUAUUUUGUACCUUGUGUAUCAGGGUUUAUUAAAAAUAUAUUAUGAAUAUAAUGUUCUCGAAUUUUUAAGAGUUAAUAAUAUAUAUAUUUAAUUGUGGUAUAAAUUUUUAUAAUAUAUUAUUAGAAAUGAAACGUUAGUCGUUUAAGAAGAUAUCUAGUUUUUUAAGAAAUAAAUUUAAUUUGAUUAUUUAAAUAUAUAGUUUUAAAUUAUUAAUACUAUGUUUUAAAUAUUAAAUAUUUUAAGGGAUAAGCUUUAAAAUAGAGCAUUAUAAGUUAUUACAUAUAGAAAAAAGAUAGAAUUAGAAUUUUUUAUUGUUUAGUAUGUUAUAAUUAAUUUUUUUUUUAUAUGAUUUAUAUUAAUUUUAGGUUCUUUAUUAAAAUGAUUUAUUUAAUAAUAUUAUAUUUGUAAUUAUGAUAAAAUUAGUAUAAUAAAUUGGUUUAAUAUUAAUUUUUUUUAUUAAGGUUAUUUUUAGGAAUUCGGCAAUUGAAUUUUUCGCCUGUUUAUUAAAAACAUGUCUUUUUGAUUAUAAUUUAAAGUCUAACCUGCCCACUGAAAAUUUUAAAUGGCCGCGGUAUUUUGACCGUGCAAAGGUAGCAUAAUAAUUAGUUUUUUAAUUGAAAGCUGGAAUGAAUGGUUGGACGAGAAAAUUACUGUCUUAAUUUAAUUUAUAUUAGAAUUUUAUUUUUAAGUUAAAAAGCUUAAAUAAUAUUAAAAGACGAGAAGACCCUAUAGAGUUUUAUUAUUAUUUUAAUUUAAGUUAUUUAGUUUUAUAUUUAUUAAUAAUUAAAGUAAUAAUUUAAAUGGGGUGAUAGAAAAAUUAAAGGAACUUUUUUUUUUGUUUUUCAUUUAU